RNAcentral lists this non-coding RNA (29 nucleotides) under Cricetulus griseus (Chinese hamster). The record is from RNAcentral. Lineage: Eukaryota; Metazoa; Chordata; Mammalia; Rodentia; Cricetidae.
AUUGGAUUGGAGAAUUUCCAGCGAGAAAG